This 579-nucleotide ribosomal RNA is filed under the name Triticum aestivum (bread wheat). Its description in RNAcentral is "partial small subunit ribosomal RNA". Lineage: Eukaryota; Viridiplantae; Streptophyta; Magnoliopsida; Poales; Poaceae. The record is from RNAcentral.
AUGCAAGACAUGGUGCAAGACUUUGAUGAUGCUUGGAACUCGGACGAUGAGAUGGAGGAAUCUGCAAAGGCCUUCAAUGAAAUGUUGGGGUUUUCAAAAUGUCCUCUCCACGAGCACACUGAGCUUUGUCAGCUGGAUGUCAUCUCACAAAUAAUGGCUCUGAAGGCUCAAUUCAACUUGGGCAGAGAAUGCUACGACGCAAUGAUGACAAUAUUUGGAUGCUUUCUAUCCAAAGGCCAUGUACUACCUCAAAACUUGUACCAGUUAGACAAAAUCCUCCAUGCUCUUAAGAUGCCCUAUGAGAAGAUACAUGCCUGUGAGAAAGGAUGUGCAUUAUUUAGGCUUCGAUAUGUGCACUUGAACUAUUGUCCCAUUUGCAAGUCAUCCAGGUAUGUUGUGGUAGACAACAGUAUGGGUGAGAAGACGCAGACCAAAAUCCCCGUAAAUGUUCUUCGGUAUAUGUCAAUCGUACCAAGACUUCAACGUCUUUUCAUGGUGGAAGAGACGGCGAGGGAGAUGACAUGGCACAAAACGGGCAAAAGAACCCAACUAGAUGUAGAUGGGAAGUUGAUGAUGGUG